RNAcentral lists this ribosomal RNA (169 nucleotides) under Ogataea pini. RNAcentral's name for it is "partial 18S rRNA". It matches the Rfam family "Eukaryotic small subunit ribosomal RNA", at positions 1484 to 1653 of the family's 1831-position model. The record is from RNAcentral. Lineage: Eukaryota; Fungi; Ascomycota; Pichiomycetes; Pichiales; Pichiaceae. RNAcentral also lists the same sequence under 7 other names.
GGGCCGCACGCGCGCUACACUGACGGAGCCAACGAGUACUAUCCUUGGCCGAGAGGUCCGGGUAAUCUUGUGAAACUCCGUCGUGCUGGGGAUAGAGCAUUGCAAUUAUUGCUCUUCAACGAGGAAUUCCUAGUAAGCGCAAGUCAUCAGCUUGCGUUGAUUACGUCCC